Molecule: long non-coding RNA, 830 nt
Organism: Quercus robur (English oak)
Lineage: Eukaryota; Viridiplantae; Streptophyta; Magnoliopsida; Fagales; Fagaceae
Exons: 4
Source: RefSeq, a predicted model, not a curated record
CCCUGCCAAUAUUGCGAUACAGAGAAAGGGAAAAAAGGGCUUACAAUACUCCCAAAAAACACUUGCGUUACUGAGAACAGAGAAGGAGAGAGAGAUCGAGAGAUCAAAAACUGAAACCCAAAACAUCAGACACCAAUCAAGAUGAAGAAGAGCCAUACAGUCUCUUCUAAUAUCCCCAAACUCUCUCUCUCUCUCUUCUCACGAACCCUAAUCUUUUUCUUCAAGAAUAUUCAAUCCCUUCAAUCCAGGCUACAGUAAGUUGCGGAGAUAAGUAGAGAAUCUGUCAUGUAGCCAGAACCACUACAGAGAGCAAAGAGUAGGGUGGCAAUGAGACAUGAGAGAAUUAGAAGUGUUACCAACAAAGGAUGCAAUUUCAACAUGAUUGGUAGACCCAAUGCGGCUGGCUAAUCUUCUUUGCAGGAUAGCCUUUAUUGUCUACAACAAUCUGUCAUUAACACAGCUUAUAAACCUGCUGAAGAUGGAAAAUGAGAAGAUGAUAGCAUGCUUAUUCAAAUGCUUCGCAAACGAAACAAUGCUACUAAACAAAAUGCAUCAAAGAAGAAGAAAAAUUGAAGGAGGAAAAAUAGCAACUACAGAAUUCAAUUUAAUUUUCAGUUUUUGUUUUUCCUCCUACCUGGUGGGUGAAUUUUUAAUAAUAAAACAAUGAAUGUGAUUGCUAUUAAGUUGACAGGUUUUUAGUGGUAUCAUCUUAAUAUCUUUUGGUUAAUUUUUUGUUUAUAGUUUGUGAAAUUUCUAUUGCUAUGACAGCCUUGCAGCUAUUCUUUGAUGAUAACUUCAUAUUAUCCAACCAACUGAUGUGAAUGCUCUUA